Molecule: ribosomal RNA, 497 nt
Filed under: uncultured bacterium
Lineage: Bacteria
Description: partial 16S ribosomal RNA
Rfam family: Bacterial small subunit ribosomal RNA
Source: RNAcentral
GAUGAACGCUGGCGGCGUGCCUAAUACAUGCAAGUCGAGCGAACAGACGAGGAGCUUGCUCCUCUGACGUUAGCGGCGGACGGGUGAGUAACACGUGGAUAACCUACCUAUAAGACUGGGAUAACUUCGGGAAACCGGAGCUAAUACCGGAUAAUAUAUUGAACUGCAUGGUUCAAUAGUGAAAGACGGUUUUGCUGUCAAUUAUAGAUGGAUCCGCGCCGCAUUAGCUAGUUGGUAAGGUAACGGCUUACCAAGGCGACGAUGCGUAGCCGAACUGAGAGGGUGAACGGCCACACUGAGACUGAAACACGGUCCAGACUCCUACGGGAGGCAGCAGUAGAGAAUCUUCCGCAAUGGGCGAAAGCCUGACGGAGCAACGCCGCUUGAGUGAUGAAGGUCUUCGGAUCGUAAAACACUGUUAUUAGGGAAGAACAAAUGUGUAAGUAACUAUGCACGUAUUGACGGUACCUAAUCAGAAAGCCACGGCUAACUACGUG